AUAUCCAUACAUCCAUAUUUAUAGGACUGAAGAGAUUAACUCGACUGAAGUUGAAUGAUAAUAGAAUUCAAACUAUUGAACCUGGAGCCUUUAAUCCGCUUACCAGUAUCACCAAGAUUGAUCUGAUGAACAAUCCAUUUGACUGCGACUGUAG
This is a long non-coding RNA of Eurytemora carolleeae, 154 nucleotides long. RefSeq lists it as uncharacterized. The record is from RefSeq and is a predicted model, not a curated record. Lineage: Eukaryota; Metazoa; Arthropoda; Copepoda; Calanoida; Temoridae. The transcript has 3 exons.